UGAUGACACUCUCUGGAAUUGUUACACUACCAUAAUUAAAGUGAACUGAAUCUUUUUCUAUCUGAUGGGGGGGAAUAAAAUAAUU
This 85-nucleotide small nucleolar RNA is filed under the name Pongo abelii (Sumatran orangutan). Lineage: Eukaryota; Metazoa; Chordata; Mammalia; Primates; Hominidae. The record is from RNAcentral.